CAACAUGGAAAUAAUUCAUAGCAGCAAGUCUAGCAGCUAUUAGUGUACAACCAGGAAGAGAAGGAGAACAGCCUUCUAUCUUCAUACCCAACUUUAUAAAACGGGAAAAUAGUCUUUCGCAUUAGUUUUCUAUUUUUCUCUGUUCCAUUUUAUACAAUUUCAGCAAAUUAUAUUGAAACUAAAAUGGAACUCAAAUUUCCUGUCAUAACAAUCUUGGUGUGUUCAUGACCCAACUAUGCUUAGACUCUAACCAGAAGUCUACUUGUCAUACUUUUGCACCCAGGA
Molecule: unclassified non-coding RNA, 285 nt
Filed under: Hevea brasiliensis (rubber tree)
Lineage: Eukaryota; Viridiplantae; Streptophyta; Magnoliopsida; Malpighiales; Euphorbiaceae
Source: RNAcentral